UACGGAGGGUGCGAGCGUUAAUCGGAAUUACUGGGCGUAAAGCGUGCGCAGGCGGUGAUGUAAGACAGGUGUGAAAUCCCCGGGCUUAACCUGGGAACUGCAUUUGUGACUGCAUCGCUGGAGUGCGGCAGAGGGGAUGGAAUUCCGCGUGUAGCAGUGAAAUGCGUAGAUAUGCGGAGGAACACCGAUGGCGAAGGCAAUCCCCUGGGCCUGCACUGACGCUCAU
RNAcentral lists this ribosomal RNA (226 nucleotides) under uncultured bacterium. Its description in RNAcentral is "partial 16S ribosomal RNA". It matches the Rfam family "Bacterial small subunit ribosomal RNA", at positions 524 to 750 of the family's 1533-position model. The record is from RNAcentral.